AGCAGCAGCCGCGGUAAUACAGAGGGUGCGAGCGUUAAUCGGAUUUACUGGGCGUAAAGCGUGCGUAGGCGGCUUCUUAAGUCGGAUGUGAAAUCCCUGAGCUUAACUUAGGAAUUGCAUUCGAUACUGGGAAGCUAGAGUAUGGGAGAGGAUGGUAGAAUUCCAGGUGUAGCGGUGAAAUGCGUAGAGAUCUGGAGGAAUACCGAUGGCGAAGGCAGCCAUCUGGCCUAAUACUGACGCUGAGGUACGAAAGCAUGGGGAGCAAACAGGAUUAGAUACCCCAGUAGUCCCUGUCUCUAUACA
This 303-nucleotide ribosomal RNA is filed under the name uncultured bacterium. RNAcentral describes it as "partial 16S ribosomal RNA". It matches the Rfam family "Bacterial small subunit ribosomal RNA", at positions 507 to 808 of the family's 1533-position model. The record is from RNAcentral.